GUGAAACCGCGAAUGGCUCAUUAAAUCACACCUAAUCUACUGGAUAGUAGUCGGUUACUUGGAUAACUGCGGUAAUUCUGGAGCUAAUACAUGCACACAAGCCUCGAACUUACGUGAGAGGCGCUUUUAUUAGAUCAAAACCAGUCGGCUUUGGCCGUCCAUUUGGUGACUCUGAAUAACUUUGGGCUGAUCGCAUGGCCUUGCGCCGGCGACAUAUCCUUCGAAGGUGUGCCCUAUCAACUGUCGACUGUGGCAUAGACGCCCACAGUGGUUUUGACGGGUAACGGGGAAUCAGGGUUCGAUUCCGGAGAGGGAGCCUUAAAAACGGCUACCACAUCCAAGGAAGGCAGCAGGCACGCAAAUUACCCAAUGACCGAAGGUCGAGGUAGUGACGAAAAAUAACGAUACGGGACUCAUCCGAGGCCCCGUAAUCGGAAUGAGUACACUUUAAAUCCGUCUCCGAGGAUCUAUUGGAGGGCAAGUCUGGUGCCAGCAGCCGCGGUAAUUCCAGCUCCAAUAGCGUAUAUUAAAGUUGUUGCGGUUAAAAAGCUCGUAGUUGGUUCUCGGCAGGUAGAGGGCGGUUUGCUUUGUAGUAUUACUACCCUAUUACCUGUAGUUUUGCUGGAGGUUUCAGGGUGCUCUUAAUCGAGUGUCUUGGGAUGCCAUCAGGUUUACUUUGAAAAAAUUAGAGUGCUCAAAG
Molecule: ribosomal RNA, 700 nt
Filed under: Pinkertonius ambiguus
Lineage: Eukaryota; Metazoa; Arthropoda; Copepoda; Calanoida; Pseudocyclopidae
Description: SSU rRNA
Rfam family: Eukaryotic small subunit ribosomal RNA
Source: RNAcentral